RNAcentral lists this long non-coding RNA (3479 nucleotides) under Panax ginseng (ginseng). Its description in RNAcentral is "long non-coding RNA (PGIN_LNC017954)". The record is from RNAcentral. Lineage: Eukaryota; Viridiplantae; Streptophyta; Magnoliopsida; Apiales; Araliaceae.
CAAAAAACAGAGAAAAAGUAGGCAGGUAGGGUAGGUAACAUAUUUAUAUAAUUAGGAAUGAUACAAAAGCAUUAAUAAGUACGUACAAACCAGGCAUCCCUAAUCAUAAAAUUACACGAGUGAUUGCAGAGCAGGGUGUGCUCACUUUCAGUACUUCUUAAAGAAGCGCUGCUGCUGCUGCUGCUGCUGCUGCUACUGCUACUACUGCUACUACUACAUAAUUAACCACAUAACAUCUACUAUCUCCUUUAUUUGAUUUGCAACAAUCAGCAUCCUAAAUGGAAAAAGUAAGUCUUAAUAAUAAUAAUAAUGCUCCGGUCUCCCUCUCCCCCAACCUGCAAACCAUAGAGGAACAAAUGCCAUACAUAUAUCAGAUCAGAUCUCAUUUCACAAACUUAAAAAAUCAUAAUCAUUUUUUUUUCGUUUGUUUUGAAACAAAAUCAUUUUCUUAAAUACGUACGUACAAAGUACUAGUAAGAUAGGAGAGAGGAAAUUAAUAAAGAUGGAUUUAGUCGCUAUCGCUGCUGCUGCUGUCGCCGUGUUUGUCAUGGCCAUGCUCGCCGUGCUUCUUCUUGUCCUUCUUCUUCUUCUUGUCGUGGCUCUUCUUGUCGCCGUCGUGGUGAUCGUCGCUGCUACCGCCAUGGCCGCCUUGGAUCUGAUCCUUGACUUUGCCAACGAUUCCACCACCUCCAUGGCCACCUUCCUUGUGAUCUCCAGCGUGCUGGCCUUCGGGCUUCUUGUGUUGUUCACCUUCCUUGUGCUUGUCACCUCCCAUGCCCAAUGUCUCCUCUAUUUUGUGGAUUAUAUUCGCCAUUUUCUCUCUCUCUCUUCUUUGUUGUAAAUAAAUCUGGAUCUGAUGGAGCGAGUAAAUGAGUGAGAAAUGGAGGACGAAGGUCACGGAUUUUAUAAGGCACUAAAAGUAGGAAGGGUAAGAGAGAGAGAAAAUAAAUCUUGGAGUUGAUUAAACAACCUUAUCCUCCGCUACAUACGUGUUGCCGCCGCGUCCAAAGAUGGAUUAAAGUCGUAUCACGUCGCUAUCCUAUCUAUAAGACUAUAAUACUUCCUUCCUAACUAUUUUCCUCUUUUAAUAUAAGUGGUUUUGGAAUUGUGUAUAAAUAUUAAAAAUAUAAUUAUAUAAUAUUAAAUAUUUAUAUUAUCUUUAUAUUAAAAAAAAAUUAUUAUUAAAUAAAAAAAUCAAAAAUAUAUUUAAUAUAAAAUUAAAUAAUUAAUAUUAAUUAAAAUUCUCAAAUAACUUAUAUUAAAAGAUAAAAAUAUUUUUUUUAAACUACUUAUAUUAAGCUAUGGAGACAGUACUUUACUACCACUAUAUCACCCUACCAAGACUUUGAAUAUUUCCAAAUCGACUUAAAUUAUUAUUAUUAUUAUUAACUUGGACAAUUCAGAUUUCCUUUAUUCUGAAGCAUCUCAUACGUGGACGGUUCACAACUCUUACCGACACUUAAUCUGGGGACCACUCUGAGCCACGUGACUGUCAGCUAUAAAGAUCAAGGAGACUCCAUCCAUCCAUCAACCUCAGAUUCCCGAUAAACUUUAUUUGUUCAGUGCUAUCAAUAGGACAAUAAACUUUAGGUAGUGUUUGAUUGUAAUGCCUCUGCUUUGAGAAGAGGUAAAAUUUAUUUGAUAAUUUAUUUUAACCUCUUAAUAACUCUUAAUAGAUAAGAUUUAAAAUAAUUCUAAAUCACUCAGAACCUCUUCUUAAUGAGUUUUUCAUCAAGUAUAAUAUUAUAUAUAUAUAUAUACUUCACACGUUUGUAAACAUUCGAAGAUUUUUAUCUCUAUAUUGCAAUACAAAAUAUUGAUUAGCUGAUUUUUGAUGCAGACACGCUUUGAAUAAAGAGGAAAAAUUUAACCAUGCUCAUGCACAACUCAAAAAUAUUAUUGAGCGUGUUUAUGGUAUGUUGAAAGUAAGAUUCUCAAUUUUGAGACGGAUGGCUCCUUACCCUUUUACAAUACAAAGAGAUAUAGUUAUUGCUUGCUUCGCAGUCCAUAAUUUCAUAAGAAAGUAUAACAUUGAGGAUGAAUUGUUUGCUCAAUAUGAUCGAGAUAACAUGUUUGACGAUGAAGCGGAGCAAAAUGAAGGGAAUGAAGAAGAAGGACAAGAUGAACCGCAAUGGAGAUAUCAAGACAUAGAAUUUAUGGUUAAUCUACGUGAACAAAUUGCACUUCAACUCUUAACAACUGUUUGACGUUCAUUAAAUUUGUAUGGUUGAAUUAUUAUGAUAUGUUGAUAUUUUCAUUGGACAUAAUACAUUUUGUUCCAUCAAAUUGUAGUCAAAAUAUUAUAAAUAUGUAUUUAAAAUAUUAUUCAGACCUUUCUGAUUAUCAAACAUGUUUUGCUUAAACUGUUCAGAAGAUUAACAUGAUAAAAUACUGUUAUUCAGACAUUUUAAAAAAAUUAAUUAUCAACCAACAUUUUUUUCUGAACAGAGAUUAUACGUGUGUGCCACUUUAAACUCUUCUAAGCUGCAUGUCAAAAAAAAAAACCAAAAAAACCCACCUAUUAUAAACAUAAUAGGGUGAAUUUGGCCAUUCACAACAUCAAAUUUUCAUCAUUGUAAGUAUAAUUUGGUCUUUAAAACAUCGAGAGUUUCAUCCCACGAAAAUUGCGUUUAAGAUCCCUUGAUAGUGAAUUUUAUUAUGGAACAAUUACAUAUUAUAGUACAUUUAUAAAAGUAAUUACAAAAAUCAUACACUCAUAAAAUAAUUAUAAAAAUAUGACAUUUCAUCAUAUAUAUUUACAAUAGUGAGGAUAAUUAGGAGUCCUUAAUUUAAGGGAUAAAUAUUAAUGAGCUGACAUGGUAAACGAUUUUUUUGAAACACGUGAUAACCGUCUAUCAUUUGCCUGGGACUCUACAGUUACCAAACCCUUGUGCAUGCUGAAACCCUUGUUUCUCUCAUUUGUCGCGACUAAUCUCGUAAUCGGAGUUAAAAAAGCUUGUUUCCGGUGACUUCAUUUCUGUUCGUAAGUUCUUCAUUGUUCGUUUAGUUGUUCUUCAUUGUUUCUAUUCGUUUAGUUGUUCGUCAUUGUCGUUGUUACUCGUUAUCGCUGUUGCAGUGUGGUUCAGUUACUCGUUGUUACUCGUUAUCGCUAUUACUCGUUAUUGCGGUUGCAGUCUGGUUCAUUGUCGUUGUUACUCGUUAUUCUUCUCCAUUGAUCGAAUCUGGUGUUUAUUAUUGCUUCAAGUGAGUAUUUUCUUAAUAGUUUAAUGUAUUAUAUAUUAAAGUAGUUUACUAACAGAAUGGAGUAUUCAUUGUUUUGGUUUGUGUUGUUUUUAUGUUUUGUAUAGAAAUGGUUGAUACAAGGAAGAAGGAUGGAAAGAGGAAAAGGAUCGUUGAGGUUGACUUUGUUAAGAACUUGAAGAAUUUUGUUGUGGAGAGCAAGGGGAAGCGAAAGGGGAAGCGAAAGGGGAAGGAUGUAGGUAAUAAAUCGAGUAAGAAUGAGAGUAGUUUGGUGAUAC